CACAUACACCUUCCGUCCGAAAAAACUUGUCCCAAACUUGUUUCUUAAUUGAUGUAUCUAGCACUAACUUAGUGCUAGAUACAUCCAAUUGAGGGAUAAGUUUUUCCGGACGGAGGGAGUAUGUC
This is a non-coding RNA of Triticum aestivum (bread wheat), 125 nucleotides long. Lineage: Eukaryota; Viridiplantae; Streptophyta; Magnoliopsida; Poales; Poaceae. The record is from Rfam.